GGUACAAGCAGAGGUAGUAUAAACUCAC
This 28-nucleotide non-coding RNA is filed under the name Cricetulus griseus (Chinese hamster). The record is from RNAcentral. Lineage: Eukaryota; Metazoa; Chordata; Mammalia; Rodentia; Cricetidae.